UAAAAAAAAAAAAAAAAAAAAUCUGUUUCACCGUUUGACUACUUUUGAAUUUGAAAUAAUUGGCAUCUUGCAAGUGAACCAUUCAUGUUGUUCUGAAUAAUGUUGAUAACUCUUUCCUUGAUUUCCUGGUUAUUACAUGCUUAUCAAGAUAAUUAUUGAAUAUUGAAUGUGAACACCAUAGGCUUCAUAAGCAUUGUGAUGCUGUAUGGUUGGAUGUGGAACCAAACAAUUUGAUGAAUGAUGGAGCCUACUAAAACAUGAGGUGUUGUACUGUUUGGAAAUAUGUGAUUAGGAAGGGAAUUAGCAUCAUUGCCUGAAACUGCAUAGGCUGGUGAAGUCUUUUGGUGGUUUUAUCUGCCUGUAAUUUAGGAAGUAAACCAAGUAGUCUGGUAAUCAUUUUCUUGCACUAUUGAUUAUCACUACCGUAACUGUGAAGAUUAGAAGAUGAUGCACUGAAAUUUGGAAGACUGUUUCUUUGGUUGAUGUUAGCAAAAAAUGUUGUUUAUCUGGGAGGUUGUCCAGAUCCAAACUUGCCCAAAAUCAUGUAAACAUGUAUUAUGUAAUAAUAUGUAUAUAUAGAUUCAUGCAUGUUACAUAUAUUCUCUGCCCUUUUAUUCCUUUUAUUUAGCUUCCAGGCAGAGGUUGCUUUUUCUCAUUCUUAGUGUUGGAGGUAGAAGAAAAUUCAAAGCUGAGAUCUCCCAUCACUAAUUCCAGAGUCUUGAUGGAAUCUGUGUCCUCAUUGCAAGUGGGAACCCCUUGUGUACAUUUUUGUGGAGAGAAUCUGCCAUUUGGGCUGGCAUGCCCAGCAAACCAAACUAUCCCUGUGUAAUAAUGUAGCUAAUUUGAGGAACAAGGUGUAAAACUGUAAAUUGGUGGAAACUUUGUUAUUGAGACAAGCUUCUGUGUGGUGAAAUUCUAAGAUGAAUUUGAUUUACUAUGAACAUUAUACAUUCGGGUCCG
This 960-nucleotide unclassified non-coding RNA is filed under the name Hevea brasiliensis (rubber tree). The record is from RNAcentral. Lineage: Eukaryota; Viridiplantae; Streptophyta; Magnoliopsida; Malpighiales; Euphorbiaceae.